Long non-coding RNA from Oncorhynchus tshawytscha (Chinook salmon), 2273 nucleotides. NCBI's taxonomy places the organism in Eukaryota, Metazoa, Chordata, Actinopteri, Salmoniformes, Salmonidae. The record is from Ensembl.
GUUUGAGAUCAAUGCAACAACCUCCCCUAUCUCACUUAACUCCUGAAAAAGCCCGUUGAAUUCGUAUGCUAGUUUCUCCAGGUGGGAACAGAAUUCUUGCAGGAGAAAAGCAUCUUUGUUUCCAAUGUUUUGCGACAUUUUCUGCAGGUUUGGGGAAGUGCACCAGCCUUCCAUUCCUCAGCUAAGAGGCCCACACACAGGGUCCGAAAUUAACACCCGCCAAGCGCCAAAUGCGGGUAGAUUUUCCGUUUGCGAGUAAAUCUCAGAAGGCUAUCUGCCACGCUGGCGGGUAAAUGUUUGCACCAAAACAGUAAUCAAAUCUGGCAAUGAUGACUGCUGCUAGCUACCGCGGGUCUGCUGCUAGCUACCGUUCAUUAAAUAGCUGUUAUGGGGCGACAUUUACCUGGAGUAAGCCAACCUUUGAAAAUGAAAAACCCACCGACGAGGACAAAUCACAUAAAAAAAAGAAAGUUUUGUGAGAAAUGGAAGUUUGGAGAUAAAGGAGUUUCAAGAGGCUGCCUACAGUAGGAUGCGAAGGCUGUGGUGAUGAGUUGUUCUGUGUGUCGCCAGUAUGCUAAAGAUAAAAGCAGAAACAACUCAUUUGUCAUCGGAAAUAAAACAAUGAAGCUGGAGAACAUUCGUGACCAUGAACACAGCAAGUGUCACAUUGCCUGCGUGUCUGUGUCCUGGGCUCAAUCGGAACCUCUCCUCUUGACACCCUCUGUGACGGCACUAAUGGCAAUGUCAGAGCAGACCAGCACGAAGAUGAACAUAUUGUUUAGGACUGUACAUGCCAUUGGCAAGAAGACGAGACCCCUUUCUGACUUGGAGUGGAUGUGUGAUUUGGAUGGGGAAAAAAAGAUAUCGCUGUGGGUUCAACAUAUAGAAAUGAGAAGCAGGCCAAAGAGUUUAUGCACCAUAUUGCAGAGUUGGAGAGAAACAACAUCCGAGAGAAUCUGAAAACCACCAAAUUUCUCUCCAUCGUGUCAGAUGGCUCCACAGACAGUUCUGUGAAAGAGAAGGAGUUAGUUUAUGUCCGAUUCUGUCCCAAGGACAAGAUCGAGUCGAAGUUUGUUGGCAUCAAGUCGGUGGAGAAGGCAAACGCGGCACACAUAAACAACUCCACCAGUGCCAUCAUGGAGGGAGUGCGUGAUGAGUAGGGGAGCAAGAUGGUCGCUCUGGGAACAGAUGGAGCUGCUGUGAUGAUCGGAAACAAGAAUGGUGUGGUCAGCCGACUGAAGGGGGCCAGGGCCGACAUCAUCGGCAUCCACUGUAUGGCACACCGCCUUGAACUGACCUUUUCUGAUGCCAUCCGGUCCAACGUGAUGUUUCAGAAAGUAGACCUCCUCAGUGGGCUCUACACCUUCUACCACACCAGUCCACUGAACAGGGCAAACCUGGUAAACAGCUUCCAGGCUCUUGGGCACACACCACUGGUACCACACCACACCACCAGAAUUGGUGGGACCCAAUGGGUAGGACACAUAUUGCGUGCACUGAACCACUUCCUGUGAGAUCACCAGGGGCUUGUCCAGCACCUGGAACAGAUUCAAUCUGCUGAUGCCCAAAAUGUCUGAGGUGUCCAGCAGGCCAAGGCCAGGAAAUACUACAGUACUGAGAGGGAGGCUGUUGUUAUCGGCUUCUGUGGCUUCCUGCAUGACACACUAACACACCUGAGCAACCUGUCCGCAGAGGUCCACCAUCACCAUAGCAACCUGUCCACCUGUCUGCAGAGGUCCACCAUCACCAUAGCAACCUGUCCACCUGUCUGCAGAGGUCCACCAUCACCAUAGCAGAAGCCCACAGCUCCUUGUGCUCAACACAGGCAGUACUUAAGAAGUACAAAACCAGAGAAGGGCCCAUGAUGAAGGCCACAACGGCCAACAGAUAUGAGGGGAUUUCGCUGACCAGAGGUGACAGCAAGACCCUCGUCACCUCACAGGACAAAAUGCUCGACAGACUAGUUGAGAGUAUGACUGACAGGUUCCAGGAUGCCAUUGUAGGGGUUCUGUGUGCCACCAAGCUGGUCAGCUUCACCAGUGUAGGGGUCCUGUGUGCCACCAAGCUGGUCAGCUUCACCAACUGGCCAGAGUCAGGAGAUGAAGCAGUCAGGUUACUUUCUGUUUUGUAUUACAGGGCAGUCAGGUUACUUUCUGUUUUGUAUUACAGGGCAGUCAGGUUACUUUCUGUUUUGUAUUACAGGGCAGUCAGGUUACUUUCUAUUUUGUAUUACAGGGCAGUCAGGUUACUUUCUGUUUUGUAUUACAGGGCAG